GGGGCAACGGUAGGUCAGCAUGCCCCGAAUUAUCUGGGCUACACGCGGGCUACAAUGGGUGGGACAAUGGGUAUCGACACCGAAAGGUGAAAGGCAAAUCUCCUAAACCCAUCCGUAGUUCGGAUUGUGGGCUGCAACUCGCCCACAUGAAGCUGGAAUCUGUAGUAAUCGUGUCUCAAAAUGGCACGGUGAAUAUGUCCCUGCUCCUU
This 209-nucleotide ribosomal RNA is filed under the name uncultured Methanomicrobiales archaeon. Its description in RNAcentral is "partial 16S ribosomal RNA". It matches the Rfam family "Archaeal small subunit ribosomal RNA", at positions 1132 to 1338 of the family's 1478-position model. Lineage: Archaea; Methanobacteriati; Methanobacteriota; Methanomicrobia; Methanomicrobiales. The record is from RNAcentral.